AGUUGGGUUCAUACCCAGCUCCUAUAGUUACCAACAUUUUUCUUUGAGAUGGAGAAACUGAAUUUCCUUAACAGUAACGUGGAGAAAAAUAUGAACCAUAUAGUUGGGUGGUUGAAAGAAUGAUGGAUAUUAUAUGUGUCUUCACAUGUGAACAUAUGUUUUAGGAACAAAAGACUAUUCAAUAAGGAAAAAAUGAUGAGGACCAAAAUCAAUGAAUAAGGAAAACAGCUCAGAAAAAAGAUGUUUCCAAAUUGGGACCUGUUGCUUUCUAUUUCUGUGUGACUCGUUCAUUCAUCCAGGCAUUCAUUGACAAUUUAUUGAGUACUUAUAUCUGCCAGACACCAGAGACAAAAUGGUGAGCAAAGCAGUCACUGCCCUACCUUCGUGGAGGUGACAGUUUCUCAUGGAAGACGUGCAGAAGAAAAUUAAUAGCCAGCCAACUUAAACCCAGUGCUGAAAGAAAGGAAAUAAACACCAUCUUGAAGAAUUGUGCGCAGCAUCCCUUAACAAGGCCACCUCCCUAGCGCCCCCUGCUGCCUCCAUCGUGCCCGGAGGCCCCCAAG
Molecule: long non-coding RNA, 563 nt
Filed under: Homo sapiens (human)
Lineage: Eukaryota; Metazoa; Chordata; Mammalia; Primates; Hominidae
Description: HSALNT0296522
Source: RNAcentral